GCCUUCAUGGUGUAAUGGUCAGCACACUCGGCGCGUAUUCGAGAGGUCCGAGGUUCGAGUCCUGGCGAGGCCC
This 73-nucleotide transfer RNA is filed under the name Stegodyphus mimosarum. It matches the Rfam family "tRNA". From Rfam's summary of the family: Transfer RNA (tRNA) molecules are approximately 80 nucleotides in length. The record is from Rfam by way of RNAcentral. Lineage: Eukaryota; Metazoa; Arthropoda; Arachnida; Araneae; Eresidae.